GUGCUCACUUUGGCAGCACAUAUACUGAAAUUAAAAUGAUACAGAGAAGAAGAGCAUGGCCUCUGUGCAAGGAUGACACACAAAUUUGUGAGCGUUCCAUAUUUUUU
This is a small nuclear RNA of Aotus nancymaae (Ma's night monkey), 107 nucleotides long. Lineage: Eukaryota; Metazoa; Chordata; Mammalia; Primates; Aotidae. The record is from Ensembl.